Ciona savignyi (Pacific transparent sea squirt) is the source of this 119-nucleotide non-coding RNA. The record is from Rfam. NCBI's taxonomy places the organism in Eukaryota, Metazoa, Chordata, Ascidiacea, Phlebobranchia, Cionidae.
GCUUAUCACCAUUUUAGAUUGAAUAUACCCGAUCUCGUCUGAUCUCGGAAGUCAAGCAAUCUCGGGCUUGGUUAGUACUUGGAUGGGUGACCGCUUGGGAAUACCAAGUGUGAUAAGCA